GACGAACGCUGGCGGCGUGCUUAACACAUGCAAGUCGAACGCUGAAGCCCUGUCUUUUGUUGGGUUGGAUGAGUGGCGAACGGGUGAGUAACACGUGAGUAACCUGCCCUCUUCUUUGGGAUAACGCCCGGAAACGGGUGCUAAUACUGGAUAUUCACUGGCCUUCGCAUGGGGGUUGGUGGAAAGGUUUGUUCUGGUGGGGGAUGGGCUCGCGGCCUAUCAGCUUGUUGGUGGGGUGAUGGCCUACCAAGGCUUUGACGGGUAGCCGGCCUGAGAGGGUGACCGGUCACAGUGGGACUGAGAUACGGCCCAGACUCCUACGGGAGGCAGCAGUGGGGAAUAUUGCAGAAGGGGCGAAAGCCUGAUGCAGCGACGACGCGUGAGGGAUGGAGGCCUUGGGGUUGUAAACCUCUUUCGCUCAUGGUCAAGCCGCAACUGUGGGUUGUGGUGAGGGUAGUGGGUAAAGAAGCGCCGGCUAACUACGUG
RNAcentral lists this ribosomal RNA (486 nucleotides) under uncultured bacterium. Its description in RNAcentral is "partial 16S ribosomal RNA". It matches the Rfam family "Bacterial small subunit ribosomal RNA", at positions 28 to 507 of the family's 1533-position model. The record is from RNAcentral.